RNAcentral lists this ribosomal RNA (290 nucleotides) under uncultured bacterium. RNAcentral describes it as "partial 16S ribosomal RNA". It matches the Rfam family "Bacterial small subunit ribosomal RNA", at positions 773 to 1060 of the family's 1533-position model. The record is from RNAcentral.
GUGGAUUAGAUACCCGGGUAGUCCGCACAGUAAACGAUAAUCACUGGGUGUCGGUCGGAUUAGCCGGUCGGUGCCGUAGCUAACGCGCUAAGUGAUUCGCCUGGGGAGUACGAUCGCAAGGUUGAAACUCAAAGGAAUUGACGGGGGCCCGCACAAGCGGUGGAGCAUGUGGUUUAAUUCGAUGCAACGCGAAGAACCUUACCUGGGCUUGACAUCUAUCGAAUCCUUCAGAGAUGAGGGAGUGCCUUUCGGGGAACGAUAAGACAGGUGCUGCACGGCCGUCGCCAACU